CUCUCUCUUCUCUCUCCCCGAUUCUGUCAUCCCCUCCGACCUCUUCACCUUCUUCCGGCCAUAACUCCUUCAUCCGGCGACGGAUUUUGACGUAUAAGAUGUCGUUGGAAAGCUCUCUUCCCUCUCUUCAUUUCUAUGGUGGUUUGGUGAUUGAUUCUGGACUGUGGAAGGUGCAGCAACGAGAAGAAGAGGACGGUCACUGUAGCAUAUCGGGAUUUCCAUCGAUUUCCGGCGAUUCCGGCCGUCUCCGGCCACCAAUUUGGCGUCGAAGGUUAGGUUUUUGACAUAGAUCAUUUCCCCUAAGGUCUUUCAUUUCAAUUUGCAGUGUAGAGGUCGAAUUAACGAUUUGCAAUUUCUAGGGUUCUUGGAGUUUUCUGGAAAUUUUUCACCGGCCAAAUUGGAGCCCUUCAAGGACGAUAUAUUGAGCUACCGCUUGACGAAGGAACUCGUUUGCGUGGUCGCCCAUUAGUACAUUUGCAGGCGUUAUUAGUUGAGGUCGGGCGUACAUGGUUCGAGGCAUAGUUGACGAAUAGCUUCCGCACUUCUUUGUUUGGCUCUGAUCUAUUGUGGGUUACUAUUUGGGUAGUCCACUUUAGGGGUGACUCGACCAGUUCUUGGUAGAGUUAUCUCUAAGGUGGGCCCCGCAGGGCCACCUCGGAUUUCAGGGUGAAAUUCGGGGCGGGUCCUGUCAGUUCCAGCUUGGCUACUCAAGUCGGUUUGCAGCAAGGCAAAUUGGAAAAUUAAGAAGUUGAGAGCGAAGAUGGUGUUUCUAAGAUUGAAUUGCCUAUAGGUGGCGAUCAAUCUAAGGGCGAAAACCUUCGCCUCGACCAGCCCGAUGUAGAAGAAAAAGCUAGCUUGUUCACUGGCGAAUCACAGCCUUACAUAGAGGCUGCUUAUGGAAAAGAUGAUCAACAAGAUUGUUCUUCUGACAAUAAAAUUGUCUCUAAACAUAUACUUGAUUUCUCCACUGAUCCAGCCAUAUAUGUGGACACUGGUCAGAUGCAUGGAGGGCAAGAUGCUGCCCAUGUUCACUCUUUUAAUAACCAGAAGCAAAUGCAUGACCAAUUGAAUUACGGUCUUACUACUGGACGCUACCAUGGUCAAGAAAGUGAUCAAAAACAUGAUCAGAAUGGUCAACUCAAUUAUCAUGCAGGUGGCUUUGAUGGCACUGGACGUUGUCAUGGAGAUUAUCAAUUAAGCCAUGAUCAACU
This is a long non-coding RNA of Rosa rugosa (rugosa rose), 1211 nucleotides long. RefSeq lists it as uncharacterized. The record is from RefSeq and is a predicted model, not a curated record. Lineage: Eukaryota; Viridiplantae; Streptophyta; Magnoliopsida; Rosales; Rosaceae. The transcript is spliced from 3 exons.